CUGACCUCAAAUCAGGUAGGACUACCCGCUGAACUUAAGCAUAUCAAUAAGCGGAGGAAAAGAAACUAACAAGGAUUCCCCUAGUAACUGCGAGUGAAGCGGGAAAAGCUCA
This 112-nucleotide ribosomal RNA is filed under the name Lentinus tigrinus. RNAcentral's name for it is "partial 28S ribosomal RNA". It matches the Rfam family "Eukaryotic large subunit ribosomal RNA", at positions 1 to 111 of the family's 3401-position model. The record is from RNAcentral. Lineage: Eukaryota; Fungi; Basidiomycota; Agaricomycetes; Polyporales; Polyporaceae.